AGUGAACGCUGGCGGUAGGCCUAACACAUGCAAGUCGAACGGCAGCACAGUAAGAGCUUGCUCUUACGGGUGGCGAGUGGCGGACGGGUGAGGAAUACAUCGGAAUCUACUUUUUCGUGGGGGAUAACGUAGGGAAACUUACGCUAAUACCGCAUACGACCUACGGGUGAAAGCAGGGGAUCUUCGGACCUUGCGCGAUUGAAUGAGCCGAUGUCGGAUUAGCUAGUUGGCGGGGUAAAGGCCCACCAAGGCGACGAUCCGUAGCUGGUCUGAGAGGAUGAUCAGCCACACUGGAACUGGGACACGGUCCAGACUCCUACGGGAGGCAGCAGUGGGGAAUAUUGGACAAUGGGCGCAAGCCUGAUCCAGCCAUACCGCGUGGGUGAAGAAGGCCUUCGGGUUGUAAAGCCCUUUUGUUGGGAAAGAAAAGCAGCAGGUUAAUACCCCGCUGUUCUGACGGUACCCAAAGAAUAAGCACCGGCUAACUUCGUGC
This 493-nucleotide ribosomal RNA is filed under the name uncultured bacterium. RNAcentral describes it as "partial 16S ribosomal RNA". It matches the Rfam family "Bacterial small subunit ribosomal RNA", at positions 29 to 508 of the family's 1533-position model. The record is from RNAcentral.